UACAGAGGGGGCAAGCGUUGUUCGGAAUUACUGGGCGUAAAGGGCGCGUAGGCGGCCUGUUAAGUCGAACGUGAAAUCCCCCGGGCUCAACCCGGGAACUGCGUCCGAUACUGGCAGGCUUGAAUCCGGGAGAGGGAUGCGGAAUUCCAGGUGUAGCGGUGAAAUGCGUAGAUAUCUGGAGGAACACCGGUGGCGAAGGCGGCAUUCUGGACCGGCAUUGACGCUGAGGCGCGAAAGCCAGGGGGAGCAAAACGGGG
Molecule: ribosomal RNA, 257 nt
Filed under: uncultured bacterium
Lineage: Bacteria
Description: partial 16S ribosomal RNA
Rfam family: Bacterial small subunit ribosomal RNA
Source: RNAcentral